Molecule: long non-coding RNA, 1010 nt
Organism: Rhinopithecus roxellana (golden snub-nosed monkey)
Lineage: Eukaryota; Metazoa; Chordata; Mammalia; Primates; Cercopithecidae
Exons: 5
Source: RefSeq, a predicted model, not a curated record
GUGUGCCUUAAGUGGAAGGAGACCAGCUGGAAACUGGCGGAUAUUCAGUAUCUCCUGAAUGAGAAAGAAAAUUGAGGAAGGUCAUUGAAUACAUUUGGUGGAGGAGGAUGGGUGAAGAGUUUUAGGCUGGCAAACUGGAAGAUACUAUUGCUUCUAGUAAUGGAGGCUGAAAUGACCUCACAGAACAAACCACAUUCAAAGGAUGCCAUGAAUGACUUCAGACAGAAAAACUUUUAUUGGGGGGCUCUAGAAAUGAUGAGUCUUGCCUUUGAGAUUAAACCUCCACUUUGCGCAAAAUAUUGUGGAAGAUACAAAGAGGAGCUCUCCAGUUUCAAGCUAUAUUGACAAAACAACAGAACUUAUGAAGAAGAGGAGAAUCAUUCAACCUUUGCAGUAACAGUUCUGUACCGUGAUUCUGGGGGUGGUUAUGCAAUCUACACACCUGUGAUAAAAUGGCAGAGAACUAUACACACACAUUGUACUGAUGUCAAUUUCCUGGUUUUAAUAUUGUAUUAAAGUUAUGUAGGAUGUAACCAAUAGGGGAAACUGGGUAAAACGUACAGUGCCCUCUCUACGAUUUUUGCAGCUUCCUGUAAACUACAAUAUGCCAAAAGCAUCCUAAGGACUUGCCAGCAGUUCAAGGGCUCACAAUAAUCCUAUGAAGUAGGUACUAUUUUUAUCCCCAGUCUAUUGAUGGGGAAGCUGAGGUACAGACAUUUUAAAUGAUUUGCCCAAGGUCACAUAGCUAGUAACUGGCAAAGUCAGGGUUUGGACACAGGUGGUAUGACUCUAAAUUUUUGAUUUCUGUGGAAGUCUGAGGAGCCACUAAAGGAUCACAGGCAAAGUAUGGCUGACAAUCAAAUUCACAUUUUAUUUUGGCAAGAUACUCCAAGUAGGAGUUUAGAAUGACUAAUGAAAAAAACUUCAAACAAGAUUAGUUAAGAUACUGAUGCAAUAAACCAGAAAUGAUGAAGGCGUGAAAUAAGAGAACAUUAAUAGAAAGAAAUGUA